The submitters of this non-coding RNA (118 nucleotides) gave its source as unclassified sequences. The record is from Rfam.
GGCAGGGGCUUGCGCUCAGGCUUUCAGUACUUCGGAAGAGCUCCCGGAGUCAGACCUUCCCCGCGGGAAGGGAACUGUUACGGAUUUUGCGCACAGAGCGAUCCAUACGGCGCAAGCC